GUGGCCAAGUGCUAAGGCAUCGGUCUCAGAAAUCAAAGAUCAUGGGUUAAAAGCCCAUCCUUGCCUA
Non-coding RNA from Merluccius polli (Benguela hake), 67 nucleotides. The record is from the annotation of a GenBank genome assembly. Lineage: Eukaryota; Metazoa; Chordata; Actinopteri; Gadiformes; Merlucciidae.